GAUGAACGCUGGCGGCGUGCCUAAUACAUGCAAGUCGAGCGAACAGACGAGGAGCUUGCUCCUCUGACGUUAGCGGCGGACGGGUGAGUAACACGUGGAUAACCUACCUAUAAGACUGGGAUAACUUCGGGAAACCGGAGCUAAUACCGGAUAAUAUAUUGAACCGCAUGGUUCAAUAGUGAAAGACGGUUUUGCUGUCAUUUAUAGAUGCAUCCGCGCCUCAUUAGCUAGUUGGUAAGGUAACGGCUUACCAAGGCAACGAUGCGUAGCCGACCUGAGAGGGUGAUCGGCCACACAGGAACUGAGACACGGUCCAGACUCCUACGGGAGGCAGCAGUAGGGAAUCUUCCGCAAUGGGCGAAAGCCUGACGGAGCAACGCCGCGUGAGUGAUGAAGGUCUUCGGAUCGUAAAACUCUGUUAUUAGGGAAGAACAAAUGUGUAAGUAACUAUGCACGUCUUGACGGUACCUAAUCAGAAAGCCACGGCUAAAUACGUG
This 497-nucleotide ribosomal RNA is filed under the name uncultured bacterium. RNAcentral describes it as "partial 16S ribosomal RNA". It matches the Rfam family "Bacterial small subunit ribosomal RNA", at positions 28 to 507 of the family's 1533-position model. The record is from RNAcentral.